Molecule: ribosomal RNA, 610 nt
Filed under: Microbacterium sp.
Lineage: Bacteria; Bacillati; Actinomycetota; Actinomycetes; Micrococcales; Microbacteriaceae
Description: bacterial SSU rRNA
Rfam family: Bacterial small subunit ribosomal RNA
Source: RNAcentral
AGCUUCUACCGCAUGGUGGGGGUUGGAAAGAUUUUUCGGUCUGGGAUGGGCUCGCGGCCUAUCAGCUUGUUGGUGAGGUAAUGGCUCACCAAGGCGUCGACGGGUAGCCGGCCUGAGAGGGUGACCGGCCACACUGGGACUGAGACACGGCCCAGACUCCUACGGGAGGCAGCAGUGGGGAAUAUUGCACAAUGGGCGGAAGCCUGAUGCAGCAACGCCGCGUGAGGGAUGACGGCCUUCGGGUUGUAAACCUCUUUUAGCAAGGAAGAAGCGAAAGUGACGGUACUUGCAGAAAAAGCGCCGGCUAACUACGUGCCAGCAGCCGCGGUAAUACGUAGGGCGCAAGCGUUAUCCGGAAUUAUUGGGCGUAAAGAGCUCGUAGGCGGUUUGUCGCGUCUGCUGUGAAAUCCCGAGGCUCAACCUCGGGCCUGCAGUGGGUACGGGCAGACUAGAGUGCGGUAGGGGAGAUUGGAAUUCCUGGUGUAGCGGUGGAAUGCGCAGAUAUCAGGAGGAACACCGAUGGCGAAGGCAGAUCUCUGGGCCGUAACUGACGCUGAGGAGCGAAAGGGUGGGGAGCAAACAGGCUUAGAUACCCUGGUAGUCCACCCCG